ACCUCUCCUUCUCUCUCUCGAAUCACAAUCGCGGCCUCUCCUCCUCACGCGAGCACCACAGCGUCACCGUUCGAUGCUCUAGCAUCGUCGAUUCCAAUCAACCCACCUCCGAUCAAGAGGAGGAUCGGAACCCUAGAUUUUCCCUUGCUGCAUCAUGCCCUAAUUUCCUAAUGCCACGAGCUACCUGCCCAGAUCUUAGCUGGGAGCAGCGGUUUGCCUUGCUAUGAUUAGGAGUUGUCAACCCCAGACGUCGGGUCUUUGUUGCCAACUGUUAUUGCCGGAGAUGAAGGGAAUUUGGGAUUACAGGAGAAGUAGAGAAUAGUUGUAGAUCAUCACUGUUGGUUGUAAGCCACUUCCAGCGCUACCUUGUUGCCAAAUUUGGGGAUUUUGAUUCGGGACGAGCUUCUCGAUGUAGGACUUUGAUUCGAUCUUCUAUUGAAGGCAAGUACUUCUUGAUUUGUUUCUUUUAGUACUUUGACCUUGGUGCAUGAACUAUUGUGGAUAAGUAACUAUUUUACCUUGACUCCACUCUUAUUUUCCUGCGCUUGAUACUUCCACUCAAACCUUUGAGUUAUUCAUUUUUAUAUCCAUACAGUUUCUCAUUGUUAUCCAUUAUACGUAGCAGAUACUAGAUAUCAUGUUUACUUGUUUUGAUUAUUGUUUAUUUAUGUACUGUAUUGAGCAUACUGGCUUCAUGUAGUAUACAUAAUUUCUGCUUAUAUUUGUAUGAUGACUGUUGCAUUUGGCACAUCAUAUCAUAGCAUGCAUGUCAACGAAAAAUUCUCUCUUGCGGUCGAGAGAGUCAUUGACCAGGGCCGCAUCCUCGACCACUCGAGAGAGAGGUAGCUGGAGUUGAUGCCGCUUGUCCUGUCGUACUUCCACUCAGUCACUCAUAAGUAGUGAUAGCUGGAG
This is a long non-coding RNA of Zingiber officinale, 912 nucleotides long. RefSeq lists it as uncharacterized. Lineage: Eukaryota; Viridiplantae; Streptophyta; Magnoliopsida; Zingiberales; Zingiberaceae. The record is from RefSeq and is a predicted model, not a curated record. The transcript has 3 exons.